Molecule: non-coding RNA, 728 nt
Organism: Castor canadensis (American beaver)
Lineage: Eukaryota; Metazoa; Chordata; Mammalia; Rodentia; Castoridae
Source: RefSeq, a predicted model, not a curated record
CAAUUUCGAGUGCAAGUGCCACAGUGUCAGCUAAAGAAACACAACUGCGGGUUUUCUGCAGAGCGAAAUGGUUCUGAAAUGUCACUGAAUAGCUCACAAAGGACGCCAAUCUACGACAACAGAUACAUAAGCAUAUAGGAGAAAGGGCCCACACAUCCUCCUUUAAAAGGUUUUAUAAAGCUUAUUGAAGAACAGGAAAUGUCUUUGAUUUCCAAGCAUCUUCAUAGGAUGUGGAGAAAAGAGAGAGAAAGGGAGAGAGGAGUCAUGGACCCUACUUUAUGGUUGCCAUGGAUGCAAGGUCAGCCUUCCACACUUGGAUCUACCAGCAAAGUUCAGACAGGUCAAUGUGUGACCGGCCCAGGCCCUGGGGUUAAAAGUUCAAGCAGCGAUGGAAAAACCAAUAUGUCCACACAGAGUAUGCUGUACAAUUUAUUUCAAUUUACAUCAAGCCAUGCAUAUAAAAUUUAGAUAAAUUCCAUUCAAAUCUGAUGUUGCCUGACACACAAUGUAUGCAAACAGAUGUCUGUGGGGCUUUUUCUGUGCUUUAGAAAACAACAUUAAAUUUAAAAAUAUGUCUCUGGGAUUUCUUUAUUGAAUUACAAAAUGAACAUAAUUUUAACUUAAAUGUUUUCAUUCUUUCUUCCAAUUCUUUUUGUGGGGGGUCUUAAUAAUUUCUCAGUUCUCAAUCUACUCUAUGUCAUAUUAAAGAGGAUAAUGUAUAUUUACAA